UCAACGAAAAAUUCAUUCAAUCUCUAAAUUACACUGGUCGACAAAAGCAAAAUAUAAGUCGUCCCAAAGCUCAAAAUAGUUGCCCUUAAAAGAUUUUCAUUUUUUAACCAUUCCUGUGAAUUUUAAAAAAUGCCGCAUAGUAUACUUAGUACUUAUAAGUAAGGCCCGGAUUUAUGUUGGGGGGAGGGGGUGGUUGUGGCAGAACCUGCAUUUACCCGUGUUAUCAACAAAUAUUAUUCACAAAUUUCUGAGAAGUUUAUUUGCUACUUAAUAAUACUCAGUGAUAUUUGUGCUGAAAUAAUAAUACCAUUAUACAAUUUAGUUUGAUUGUGUUUUAGAACAAGAACAAGACAUGAAUUAUAAUAAAAAAAAAACAUUUUGGUCUAAUGAGUCAGUCGGCAUAUUAAUUGUUAAUUUGUUUACUGGAUCGAUUGCCGUUUUUUUAGUUUUCGGAUACGGAAAGUGUCAUAACGUAUAGGUUUUUUCUCUAUUUCAUACGCGUGGGUGAGGACUGCAACAUUUAUAGUUCGAGCUUGGCGAAAUUGGUGUAGCGAAGUCCAUAAAAACUUAAAGCACUGCAUUACUACAAAUGCAUAUGUUUGUAUUGAAAUAAAUGCGCAUUCUAUAAUAAAAUUCAUCGAAAUCUGCAGAAGUGUAGGUGCCAAUUUUAUAAUUACUGCUCUUUCAAGCCAGCCGUGUGAAAAACUUUUCGGAUAGUUACGAACAAUGGCAACAACAAAUCAAACAGUUGUUAAUUUCACCAUAAAAGAAUUGACAGAAAAACUGAAGCGAAUCCAAAUGAAAUUUGAUAUUAUGUACAGAAACUGUGAUAAAGUUAAUUUUCCAAGUUUGGAAAAAUUGAAAACCCGUUCAGUCCCUGAUUUUCUUCCUUCGGAAGAAGACAUACGUAAUUGCAUAAUAAGAGCCCAAGCCAUUACAAAAGAGAAGUUGUUUGCUGUAGGAAUUCACAGCCCAAAUUUUGAUGCUUCUAUCAGCCGGCAGUGUCAGAACACUACAGAAUUUAUUGAUGUUGAAGCACUCAAUACCUAUGCUGACGAUUAUGGAGAUGUUGACGAUUAUGGAGAUGACGACGAUUUGCAGGAAUUCAACUUUCAAGACAAUGAAACACCCAUCCUAUCUCAUCACCACCCUAUCGAGUUCGUAAAUGUUAAUACAACUGAACUGGAAAAUGAUCAUCUAAAUAAUCCAACAGUGUUUGAAUUAGACAGAAUUUUACCCAACUGUAACGGUUAUGUUAAGGUAACAAAUUGUCGAACUGGACAUAAGCAUACAUUCAGUAUUAUGAACUUAUCUGGAAAUAUUAUAAACAUGAAAAAAGAGUACCUGCUAUAUUUACUAACACCGGGGCGGUACCAAUUGUCAACAGAUAGGCUGGCACGAUUCAAGCAAAAAGAAUUUGCAAAUAAACCAGACCAGCAACUUGAACACAUUUGAUCAAAAAUGUGCUAACCGCAGAAGUAUAUAAUGCUCAACAGUUCAUGGUUCAACAACAUCCAAAGAUAAUGUUUUUAUCACGAUUUGUUUUGUUUAGAAGAUGAAGUAAAUAAAACUAUAAAAAAAAACAAUCAGUAUGAAAUGAAA
Wyeomyia smithii (pitcher-plant mosquito) is the source of this 1602-nucleotide long non-coding RNA. RefSeq lists it as uncharacterized. NCBI's taxonomy places the organism in Eukaryota, Metazoa, Arthropoda, Insecta, Diptera, Culicidae. The transcript is spliced from 2 exons. The record is from RefSeq and is a predicted model, not a curated record.